GAUGAACGCUAGCGGCAGGCUUAACACAUGCAAGUCGAGGGGUAUUUAUCUUCGGAUAGAGAGACCGGCGCACGGGUGCGUAACGCGUAUGCAAUCUACCUUUUACAGAGGGAUAGCCCAGAGAAAUUUGGAUUAAUACCUCAUAGUAUAUAGACUCGGCAUCGAGAUUAUAUUAAAGUCACAACGGUAAAAGAUGAGCAUGCGUCCCAUUAGCUAGUUGGUAAGGUAACGGCUUACCAAGGCUACGAUGGGUAGGGGUCCUGAGAGGGAGAUCCCCCACACUGGUACUGAGACACGGACCAGACUCCUACGGGAGGCAGCAGUGAGGAAUAUUGGACAAUGGGCGCAAGCCUGAUCCAGCCAUGCCGCGUGCAGGAGGACGGUCCUAUGGAUUGUAAACUGCUUUUAUACGAGAAGAAACACUGCUACGUGUAGCAGCUUGACGGUAUCGUAAGAAUAAGAAUCGGCUAACUCCGUG
Molecule: ribosomal RNA, 478 nt
Filed under: uncultured bacterium
Lineage: Bacteria
Description: partial 16S ribosomal RNA
Rfam family: Bacterial small subunit ribosomal RNA
Source: RNAcentral